CCUACGGGAUGCAGCAGUGGGGAAUAUUGCACAAUGGGGGAAACCCUGAUGCAGCGACGCCGCGUGAGUGAAGAAGUAAUUCGUUAUGUAAAGCUCUAUCAGCAGGGAAGAAAAUGACGGUACCUGAGUAAGAAGCCCCGGCUAACUACGGGCCAGCAGCCGCGGUAAUACGAAGGGGGCAAGCGUUAUCCGGAUUUACUGGGUGGAAAGGGAGCGUAGACGGCAGUGCAAGUCUGGAGUGAAAGGCGGGGGCUCAACCCCCGGACUGCUCUGGAAACUGUACGGCUGGAGUGCAGGAGAGGUAAGUGGAAUUCCUAGUGUAGCGGUGAAAUGCGUAGAUAUUAGGAGGAACACCAGUGGCGAAGGCGGCUUACUGGACUGUAACUGACGUUGAGGCUCGAAAGCGUGGGGAGCAAACAGGAUUAGAUACCCUUGUAGUC
RNAcentral lists this ribosomal RNA (440 nucleotides) under uncultured bacterium. RNAcentral's name for it is "partial 16S ribosomal RNA". It matches the Rfam family "Bacterial small subunit ribosomal RNA", at positions 338 to 795 of the family's 1533-position model. The record is from RNAcentral.